Molecule: ribosomal RNA, 253 nt
Filed under: uncultured bacterium
Lineage: Bacteria
Description: partial 16S ribosomal RNA
Rfam family: Bacterial small subunit ribosomal RNA
Source: RNAcentral
UACGGAGGGUGCGAGCGUUGUUCGGAAUCACUGGGCGUAAAGCGCGUGUAGGCGGCCUUGUAAGUCUGGUGUGAAAGCCCGGGGCUUACCCCCGGAAGUGCACUGGAGACUGCAAGGCUUGAGUACCGGAGAGGAAAGUGGAAUUCCUGGUGUAGCGGUGGAAUGCGCAGAUAUCAGGAGGAACACCUAUAGCGAAGGCAGCUUGCUGGGACGUUACUGACGCUAAGGCGCGAAAGCUAGGGGAGCAAACGGG